RNAcentral lists this ribosomal RNA (114 nucleotides) under Cavia porcellus (domestic guinea pig). Lineage: Eukaryota; Metazoa; Chordata; Mammalia; Rodentia; Caviidae. The record is from RNAcentral.
GUCUAUGACCAUACCACCCUGGACACUCCUGAUCUCAUCUGAUCUGGGAUGCUGAGCAGGAUAGGGGCUGAUUAGUAGGUAGAUGAGAGAAUCCUUUGGGAGGCUGGUAACACU